This is a small nuclear RNA of Mustela putorius furo (domestic ferret), 103 nucleotides long. Lineage: Eukaryota; Metazoa; Chordata; Mammalia; Carnivora; Mustelidae. The record is from Ensembl.
GUGCUCACGUCAGCAGCACAUACACUAAAAUUGGAACAAUACAGAGAUUAUCAUGGCCCUGUGCAAUGAAGAUGCACAAAUUCAUGAAGCAUGCCAUAUGUAC